This 228-nucleotide non-coding RNA is filed under the name Pongo abelii (Sumatran orangutan). Its description in RNAcentral is "Eukaryotic large subunit ribosomal RNA". It matches the Rfam family "Eukaryotic large subunit ribosomal RNA", at positions 2427 to 2584 of the family's 3401-position model. Lineage: Eukaryota; Metazoa; Chordata; Mammalia; Primates; Hominidae. The record is from Rfam by way of RNAcentral.
UCUAGUCUGGCACGGUGAAGAGACAUGAGAGGUGUAGAAUAAGUGGGAGGCCCCCAGCGCCCCCCGUCCCCGCGAGGGGGCGGGGCGGGGUCCGCCGGCUUUGCGGGCUGACGGUGAAAUACCACUACUCUGAUAGUUUUUUCACUGACCGGGUGAGGCGGUGGGGGGCGGCGAGCGCCCAGGGGCUCUCGUAAAUGGUGCUGGGAAAACUGGCUAGCCAUAUGUAGA